Molecule: ribosomal RNA, 477 nt
Filed under: Triticum aestivum (bread wheat)
Lineage: Eukaryota; Viridiplantae; Streptophyta; Magnoliopsida; Poales; Poaceae
Description: partial small subunit ribosomal RNA
Source: RNAcentral
AUGCCGCGGCCGAGAAAAAGUAACGCCUCUCUUUCUCCCAUCCCCGCGCCACCCUAUCUCCCGCUGCCGCAGCCACCACACCCCGCCGCCCCCACCGAUGACCAUCCCUUCAGCGGGAAUGGAAAUCAUCCACGCGUCGCCGCCCGUGCCGAAGAAGAGUUUGGGGAUGAAAAAACCCACCGGGUUCAAACUCCUCCUCCAACUACGUCAAUGGCCUCUCGGGUGGCCACCUCUCCGGCAAUGGCCUGCCACCCUCCCGCCGAGCCAAACGAGCUCGAAAGCCACGGCGGCAGCAGCGAAGCUCGUCGAGGCGGGCGCGAAGAAGGUGAAGAAAGGCAAAGCGGUGCCUCGUCCAAGGCCGAUGCCUCGUGCAGCUACUCCGCCCCCCCUACGGCCAAUGCUUUGGUGCGGGCGGCGGCCACAGCCGGCAACAAGCAUCGCGGCCACCAAGUGCUCGAUGAAAUGCCUACAAGGUAA